Molecule: transfer RNA, 71 nt
Filed under: bacterium
Lineage: Bacteria
Description: tRNA-Gln
Rfam family: tRNA
About the family: Transfer RNA (tRNA) molecules are approximately 80 nucleotides in length. Their secondary structure includes four short double-helical elements and three loops (D, anti-codon, and T loops). Further hydrogen bonds mediate the characteristic L-shaped molecular structure. tRNAs have two regions of fundamental functional importance: the anti-codon, which is responsible for specific mRNA codon recognition, and the 3' end, to which the tRNAs corresponding amino acid is attached (by aminoacyl-tRNA synthetases). tRNAs cope with the degeneracy of the genetic code in two manners: having more than one tRNA (with a specific anti-codon) for a particular amino acid; and 'wobble' base-pairing, i.e. permitting non-standard base-pairing at the 3rd anti-codon position.
Source: RNAcentral
UCCGGGGUCGUCUAACGGCAGGACGGGGGACUUUGGAUCCCUUGGUGGAGGUUCGAAUCCUCCCCCCGGAG